AGAGCUAAUUGGAGAGUUCUUGAAUAGUGUUGUGAACCUUCAUGAAAUCUUUGAUUAGGUCUGG
Molecule: microRNA precursor, 64 nt
Filed under: Aedes aegypti (yellow fever mosquito)
Lineage: Eukaryota; Metazoa; Arthropoda; Insecta; Diptera; Culicidae
Description: Aae-Mir-1890_pre stem-loop
Source: RNAcentral